GGUUAAGCGACUAAGCGUACACGGUGGAUGCCCUGGCAGUCAGAGGCGAUGAAGGACGUGCUAAUCUGCGAUAAGCGUCGGUAAGGUGAUAUGAACCGUUAUAACCGGCGAUUUCCGAAUGGGGAAACCCAGUGUGAUCCGUCACACUAUCAUUACGUGAAUACAUAGCGUAAUGAAGCGAACCGGGGGAACUGAAACAUCUAAGUACCCCGAGGAAAAGAAAUCAACCGAGAUUCCCCCAGUAGCGGCGAGCGAACGGGGAGCAGCCCAGAGUCUGAAUCAGCUUGUGUGUUAGUGGAACGGUCUGGAAAGUCCGACGGUACAGGGUGAUAGUCCCGUACACCAAAAUGCACAGGUUGUGAACUCGAAGAGUAGGGCGGGACACGUGGUAUCCUGUCUGAAUAUGGGGGGACCAUCCUCCAAGGCUAAAUACUCCUGACUGACCGAUAGUGAACCAGUACCGUGAGGGAAAGGCGAAAAGAACCCCGGCGAGGGGAGUGAAAAAGAACCUGAAACCGUGUACGUACAAGCAGUGGGAGCCUCUUUAUGGGGUGACUGCGUACCUUUUGUAUAAUGGGUCAGCGACUUAUAUUCUGUAGCAAGGUUAACCGUAUAGGGGAGCCGAAGGGAAACCGAGUCUUAACUGGGCGUUAAGUUGCAGGGUAUAGACCCGAAACCCGGUGAUCUAGCCAUGGGCAGGUUGAAGGUUGGGUAACACUAACUGGAGGACCGAACCGACUAAUGUUGAAAAAUUAGCGGAUGACUUGUGGCUGGGGGUGAAAGGCCAAUCAAACCGGGAGAUAGCUGGUUCUCCCCGAAAGCUAUUUAGGUAGCGCCUCGUGAAUUCAUCUUCGGGGGUAGAGCACUGUUUCGGCUAGGGGGUCAUCCCGACUUACCAACCCGAUGCAAACUGCGAAUACCGAAGAAUGUUAUCACGGGAGACACACGGCGGGUGCUAACGUCCGUCGUGAAGAGGGAAACAACCCAGACCGCCAGCUAAGGUCCCAAAGUCAUGGUUAAGUGGGAAACGAUGUGGGAAGGCACAGACAGCCAGGAUGUUGGCUUAGAAGCAGCCAUCAUUUAAAGAAAGCGUAAUAGCUCACUGGUCGAGUCGGCCUGCGCGGAAGAUGUAACGGGGCUAAACCAUGCACCGAAGCUGCGGCAGCGACACUAUGUGUUGUUGGGUAGGGGAGCGUUCUGUAAGCCGUUGAAGGUGUAUCGUGAGGUAUGCUGGAGGUAUCAGAAGUGCGAAUGCUGACAUAAGUAACGAUAAUGCGGGUGAAAAACCCGCACGCCGGAAGACCAAGGGUUCCUGUCCAACGUUAAUCGGGGCAGGGUGAGUCGACCCCUAAGGCGAGGCCGAAAGGCGUAGUCGAUGGGAAACAGGUUAAUAUUCCUGUACUUGGUGUUACUGCGAAGGGGGGACGGAGAAGGCUAUGUUAGCCGGGCGACGGUUGUCCCGGUUUAAGCAUGUAGGCGGAGGUUCCAGGUAAAUCCGGUACCUUUUAACGCUGAGGUGUGAUGACGAGGCACUACGGUGCUGAAGUAACAAAUGCCCUGCUUCCAGGAAAAGCCUCUAAGCAUCAGGUAACACGAAAUCGUACCCCAAACCGACACAGGUGGUCAGGUAGAGAAUACCAAGGCGCUUGAGAGAACUCGGGUGAAGGAACUAGGCAAAAUGGUGCCGUAACUUCGGGAGAAGGCACGCUGAUAUGUAGGUGAAGUGAUUUACUCAUGGAGCUGAAAUCAGUCGAAGAUACCAGCUGGCUGCAACUGUUUAUUAAAAACACAGCACUGUGCAAACACGAAAGUGGACGUAUACGGUGUGACGCCUGCCCGGUGCCGGAAGGUUAAUUGAUGGGGUUAUCCGUAAGGAGAAGCUCUUGAUCGAAGCCCCGGUAAACGGCGGCCGUAACUAUAACGGUCCUAAGGUAGCGAAAUUCCUUGUCGGGUAAGUUCCGACCUGCACGAAUGGCGUAAUGAUGGCCAGGCUGUCUCCACCCGAGACUCAGUGAAAUUGAACUCGCUGUGAAGAUGCAGUGUACCCGCGGCAAGACGGAAAGACCCCGUGAACCUUUACUAUAGCUUGACACUGAACACUGGUCCUUGAUGUGUAGGAUAGGUGGGAGGCUUUGAAGUGUGGACGCCAGUCUGCAUGGAGCCAUCCUUGAAAUACCACCCUUUAAUGGCUGGUGUUCUAACGUGGACCCGUAAUCCGGGUUGCGGACAGUGUCUGGUGGGUAGUUUGACUGGGGCGGUCUCCUCCUAAAGAGUAACGGAGGAGCACGAAGGUUAGCUAAUCCUGGUCGGACAUCAGGAGGUUAGUGCAAAGGCAUAAGCUAGCUUGACUGCGAGAGUGACGGCUCGAGCAGGUGCGAAAGCAGGUCUUAGUGAUCCGGUGGUUCUGAAUGGAAGGGCCAUCGCUCAACGGAUAAAAGGUACUCCGGGGAUAACAGGCUGAUACCGCCCAAGAGUUCAUAUCGACGGCGGUGUUUGGCACCUCGAUGUCGGCUCAUCACAUCCUGGGGCUGAAGUAGGUCCCAAGGGUAUGGCUGUUCGCCAUUUAAAGUGGUACGCGAGCUGGGUUUAGAACGUCGUGAGACAGUUCGGUCCCUAUCUGCCGUGGGCGCUGGAGAAUUGAGGGGGGCUGCUCCUAGUACGAGAGGACCGGAGUGGACGCAUCACUGGUGUUCGGGUUGUCAUGCCAAUGGCAUUGCCCGGUAGCUAAAUGCGGAAGAGAUAAGUGCUGAAAGCAUCUAAGCACGAAACUUGCCCCGAGAUGAGUUCUCCCUGAGACUAUAAGUCUCCUGAAGGAACGUUGAAGACGACGACGUUGAUAGGUCGGGUGUGUAAGUGUAGCGAUACAUUGAGCUAACCGAUACUAAUGAACCGUGAGGCUUAACCUU
This 2906-nucleotide ribosomal RNA is filed under the name Citrobacter freundii. RNAcentral describes it as "23S ribosomal RNA". It matches the Rfam family "Bacterial large subunit ribosomal RNA". The record is from RNAcentral. Lineage: Bacteria; Pseudomonadati; Pseudomonadota; Gammaproteobacteria; Enterobacterales; Enterobacteriaceae.